UUUAAUUAUUGUAUACACAAAUAAAUAUUAGGCUUCUGAACAUUUAAAUCAUGAUCAUGUUUUGAUAAUAUCUAGCACCUACUAUGUGGCUGCUAAUGUGCUAUGAUUUUUAUGUGCACUUUCCCAGUCCAGUUCCAAUCACUGUUGAGUAAAUUAUAAUUCUUCUCAUUUAACAAAUAGGUAGACUGAGUUUCGGAGUUUCAGAGUUUCAGAAAGUUUAAUCAGUUGGAUUGUGAUCUCAAGCUUGCAGGCAACAGUCUUGGGAUUUGGAUCCCCUUUAGGGUAAAAGCGUAAGAAGGACCAUCUGGGGCCAUUUCACGUAUUUUAGACAAUAGGAUUGUGCAGCCCCAACAGGUUUUCUCUCCAUGUUAUAAACACAGUAACAAGCCAAUCUCUGACUUUUUGAUUCCGUGGUAUACCAGGGGAAAAAAUCAAAUGGCAAAGGCAGAAAUAUUUCCUUCUAAGAAACAGUAGGACAAAUCUGAUUGAUUUGGGCUGAGGCAUACUGACAAUUCAACAGUAGCCAGCUGAAAUUGCCUUUCCAACUGAGGUGGUUAAGCCUGGCCUGGAGCACUGUUGUCAGCCCGCACCUGCCGCAGGACUCCUUUGCAGUGCUUCAGAAGCCACCUUUGCCAAGGGAACACUGUGAACAAAGAGAUGGAAGCAUGGAUGUGUGUAGUAUUCUCGGGGAAUGGUGAGCACAGCAGUGAGUACAGAGAGAGGGAGAAGGGAGUGGAAUAAAUAGAGUGUACCGAGAUUACAGGUUGAGCGGUGUCUUGCUAAGAAUUUAUAGUUAUUAGGGGAGCCACUGAAAUGGGUGUGUGUGUGGCAGGGCAGAUAUCUAUUAUUUGGUAAGAUUGCUUUGAGAAACCCAAGAAAGUGGAUUGAAAAGAGGAGAGCUAUGGACUGUGCUAUGGUGAGCAGGUAAUGUCUGGUAAGGGGUGAUCCUCAAGAGUCUCAGAAAUAUCACCUCUAAUUAAAGAUAAUCUCUGUUUUUUGUUAUUUUUAUUUUAUUUUUUUUACUUUUGGAAAAAGCCCAACAACUGGAGAAUUUUAAUGAAUUUGAUAGGAUUGUGAGAUACUACUUAACAACAGAUGAUCUGCAUUUAAUAAUUUGGAGUUCCUUAGGUGAUUUUCAUACUACUUUACAUUAUAUGUUCUGACUUUUUGCUUUUGACUCCCUCAAACCAUGCUGCCAACAAUUGAAGAAUACAUUAAUGUAAAUAUGCAAGAAAAUCCUCAUCUUUAUCAUUUGCUUCUGAGCCUUGGACAGUUCUGAUGUAAAUCAUUUUAGAAGCCUCCCUAAUUAAAAUGGAAACCCAUUGUGUCAGUUUGUCUGAAGGAACUAGAGUGAUGUACAUUUGAAUGUUUGUUUGAAUAUAGCUUUUAGGCUAUUGACAGAAAUUUGAGAAGGAGGCCAAGUUUAGCAGCAUGGGCCCAGAGAAAGACCAAAGCCAGGCAUGAAUAUUUACUGACAGGCGGUUAAGCAAAACAGCCAUUCCGCUAUUUGUCUUUUCACUGUCCUGGAUAUUUGCUUCUUAUUAAUCUUUUAGGAUGUAUUCUUCCUUUGCUGAAUCCAUUAUUAAACAGAGAACAGACAUUGUGUUAGCAUUAUUUGUU
RNAcentral lists this long non-coding RNA (1620 nucleotides) under Canis lupus familiaris (dog). Its description in RNAcentral is "lncRNA (ENSCAFG00030010322.1)". Lineage: Eukaryota; Metazoa; Chordata; Mammalia; Carnivora; Canidae. The record is from RNAcentral.